UGAUGGUGUCAGUAAACUUUCCCAGCAGG
This 29-nucleotide non-coding RNA is filed under the name Rattus norvegicus (Norway rat). Lineage: Eukaryota; Metazoa; Chordata; Mammalia; Rodentia; Muridae. The record is from RNAcentral.